RNAcentral lists this long non-coding RNA (931 nucleotides) under Mytilus galloprovincialis (Mediterranean mussel). The record is from RNAcentral. Lineage: Eukaryota; Metazoa; Mollusca; Bivalvia; Mytilida; Mytilidae.
UGGUUAUCAAAGUUAAUUUGUGAAAGCAUAAUAAGAAAAAUGUCAGAUCGUGACAGAUCAAGUACCGGUUUUUUUAAAAGAAUCGUGAAAAGGAUCGUGAUAUAUCUGAUGCUCUUGGUGCUACUAAGACUUUCAAAUCAUUUUUCAAUGAUAAUGAGAAAUGAUAACUUACAUUUGUUAUUGAUAUAGACAAAACUAGAUUUACACCAAUAACCAGGGUCUCCUGUGUUGGUUAAAAGUGUUAUAAUCGUGCAAUGCCAUUGGUAUGCACAUUUUUUGUUUUUCCCUCGCCGGGAUUCGAACUCAUGCUACUGAGAUAUCGUGACACCAAAUCGCCUGCACUGUUUCCGGCGCGCUAGACCACUCGACCACCUUGGCUUCACUAAAAUAAAGCUUAUAUAUUUGUCCACCGUACUGCGCGUUGCAGGGUACAUAAAAUAUCGCACGUCCGUUCCUCUGUCUGUCCUUUCGGUUUAUUAGAUUUUUCAAUUGUGCAAUUCUUGCCAGAUUUUUAUAAAAAUUAUUUUGUACGGACACGUCCGAAAUCAGUGCCUAUCGACUUCAUUUUUAAAAAAAUAAUGCAAUUUUGGAACUAUUGAUUUUAUUUCAAAUGUGAUGUCAAUCCGUCAUUUCUCUAGUAUAUUUGUAAAAGUUAAAAAAGAAGUUGGUUAUUGCCCUUUGUUGGACAAACUACGUGCAACGCGGAGCAAAUUGAAACUUUGUUCUUUUAUUACAGCUGAUUGCAUUGAGUGUGUAGGUAAAGGUAAUAUCUUUGGUUAGCUUGCUUUCUAGCUGAACCAUGCAGUCAUUAUUAGGUUAGGUAAACUACCCUUCUUUAACAGAAGACAAGUCCGACAGAUAACCUAUCUAUCUGUAUGUAUGACUAGGCUACUUCGAAAGGAGGGUAGUAUAUCUUACCUAAUAAUGACUU